GCCCCCAUCGUCUAGAGGCCUAGGACGCCGGCCUCUCACGCCGGAAACCGGGGUUCGACUCCCCGUGGGGGCACCA
RNAcentral lists this transfer RNA (76 nucleotides) under bacterium. Its description in RNAcentral is "tRNA-Glu". It matches the Rfam family "tRNA". Rfam says of the family: Transfer RNA (tRNA) molecules are approximately 80 nucleotides in length. RNAcentral also lists the same sequence under 1 other name. The record is from RNAcentral.